Molecule: long non-coding RNA, 209 nt
Filed under: Elaeis guineensis (African oil palm)
Lineage: Eukaryota; Viridiplantae; Streptophyta; Magnoliopsida; Arecales; Arecaceae
Description: long non-coding RNA (EGUI_LNC058497)
Source: RNAcentral
GUCUGAGAGAGUCUAGUCCACCUCUGCAUAAGGCUCCGACGAGCUUUGCUCCUUAAGGGAGACCAUGGAAAAAUUGUCUGUGGCCCUUGGGUAGGAGAAGGCCAAACUGCAGCGGCUGAAGAUUCAACUGGCCUACGAGCAGUAGUCGGUCAAGGAUGUCGAGGCGGAGUCCGAAGUUCUGAGGAAGAGGAUUCGAGAGUCAGAGGGCG